CGAACGCUUGCGGCGUGCCUAAGAAAUGCAAGUCGAACGGGGACUUCGGUCCUAGUGGCGAACGGUCGCGUAACACGUAAGCAACCUGCCCUGAAGUGGGGGACAACAUCCCGAAAGGGGUGCUAAUACCGCAUGUGGUCACGAGUCGGCAUCGACUUGUGUCUAAAGAUUUAUCGCUUCAGGAUGGGCUUGCGGCCUAUCAGGUAGUUGGUGGGGUAAUGGCCUACCAAGCCGACGACGGGUAGCUGGUCUGAGAGGACGAUCAGCCGGAUUGUGACUGAGAUACGGCCCAGACUCCUACGGGGGGCAGCAAUUAGGAAUCUUGCGCAAUGGGGGGAACCCUGACGCAGCGACGUCGCGUGAAGGAUGAAGGCCCUCGGGUCGUAAACUUCUUUUGAGUGGGAAGAAAUUUGACGGUACCACUCGAAUAAGCCCCGGCUAACUACGUGCCAGCAG
RNAcentral lists this ribosomal RNA (456 nucleotides) under uncultured bacterium. RNAcentral describes it as "bacterial SSU rRNA". It matches the Rfam family "Bacterial small subunit ribosomal RNA", at positions 30 to 514 of the family's 1533-position model. The record is from RNAcentral.